Molecule: long non-coding RNA, 2990 nt
Organism: Leopardus geoffroyi (Geoffroy's cat)
Lineage: Eukaryota; Metazoa; Chordata; Mammalia; Carnivora; Felidae
Exons: 2
Source: RefSeq, a predicted model, not a curated record
GAAGAAACUGAGGGUUGCUGGAGGGGAGGUGUGUGGAGGGAUGGGUUAAAUGGGUGACGGGCAUUAAGGAGGGCACUUGUUGGGAUGAGCACUGGGGGUUCUAUGUAACAGAUGAAUUAUUGGGUUCUGCUCCCCAAGCCCAGACUCCACUGUAUGUUAAGUAACUCGAAUUCAAAUUUUAAAAUAUAUAUUUUUUUCAAUAGUCAUGAAGGACAGGAAAGAAUGAGGUUCUGUGACCCCAUACUCAGAUCUGAUCACGAGGAUCUGUCCUAAUACAUUACAGAGAGAGUGAAAGGGAGCUCACAUUCCUUUGUCCAGCCUUGUGCUUGGGCGUUCACUGAGUAAUUCAUUUAAUCCUACCAGAAGUCUUACAGGGAACAUAUGAAUCUCAUUUGACAGGUAAGAAAAUCGUGACACGGAGAGGCUAAAUGACACCCAGUCUGGAGGGGAAAGGACACGGGCUUCUGCAUCAGACAGAUCUGUGCUUGACUACCAGCUCCCUUUCUACAGCAGGGACCCACCCUGGGACAAGCCAGUGCCCCUGAGUCUCAGUUUGCUCAUCUAUAAAUGGGAAUGAUAUCUACUACAUAGUGACAAAUAACGGAGCCAAGGCUUUCUUUUUUGUCAGGUUGUUAGGAUAAAGUUACAUCUUUCUGCUGGACCCAUUGGGUGAAUUCUCGUGAGGUUUCCACAGGUGGUUCACCCCAUGCAUAUUCCAAGCCCGGCCUUGGGUUGGUGCUUGGAGAGAGAACCAUGCACAGAUGGGCCAGGGGACCAGGCUGCACUCUGACUCCUGAAUUGCAGGCAUGUUAGUCACUCAACCAUUAUGGGUCUGAGAAUUUCCUAGCGAGCUUGGAGCAUCUCAAAAUCCUGACCCAUGUAAGUCUGACUGGGGCCAGAGUCUGCCCUUGUGACAAUGUCCCCUGCAGAUUUUGAUGCACAGGGUUCCAAGAACCUGCUGUAAAGGACAAGAUAAGCCUGAGAGAAGAGAGCCUUGAGCAGAGGUAGGGGGUGGAGCGGGCUCAAUGUGGUAAUGCCUCAGGUGUAUCAUGGAGGUCCAGUAAGACCCCACACUGCUUUGCAGCCUGUAUUUCCAGGGACAGUCCUCUUAUUCCUCAGCAUCUCCAAGAUUCCUGCCCAGAAGGAUUUAGUGUAUAUAGGCAUGUAUCUCCCGGAGUAAAACCACACACCCCUCAGCAGCUCACAAGGACACUCUUCACCCUUGCAUACUCCUCUGACCUCACCUCCUCUGGCCACACUGGCUCCUUGCUGGUCCCUAACCACACCCAGCCCCCUGCCACCCCAGGGCCCUAUCACUGCUCUUCCCAUAGCUGUCCCUGUGGGUCACUCCUCGGCUGCUUCACGGCCUUACUUACAGACCACCUUCUCCACGAGUCUGUCCCUGACCACCCUACUUAGAAGACACUACCCCCGCCUUCUGACACUCUCUGUGCUUUAUUUUUCCUCACUGGCACCUAUUCUGCUCUAAGAAACCGUAUGUUGUACAUUUUAAUUUUUAUGAUCUGUCUCUGUGCAGUUGGGUUUCAGCCCCAAGAGAAAGAGGGAUCUGAUGCUGUGUCUGCUUUUUUCCCUGCUGUGUCCCCGCAUUGCCGAUGGUGUCUUGUGCACAGUAGAAGUUUCGAGUGAGUACUUGUGCACUGAGUGAAUGUAAGAUGUAAGGAAAGGAGGAAUUUAGUGCAGUUCAGACUGGCCAGACUGCGGGUCCACAAGCUUCACUUCAGGUGGCGUUAAGGCACAGGGCUGGCCUUUGGGGGACACUGGGAUGCAAAAUUAGUGCUUUGGGAGGCGUGGGUGCUUGCUGUUGAAGACGGAGUCCCUUCAUGGUCUCCAGGACUUCUACACCAUGGAUGGGAGACCUCUAACACUCUUUCUACCAGCUGCCAUCCCAGCCAGGGUGGAGCCCAAGGGGGCCUCAGCCUAGGGAUAGGACAUCUCUGCCCUGCAUGGUGCCCUAUUGGAUAUGGGGUGAGGGGCCCAUCCUGUAACCCUCCAUGCUUCCAUUUCAUUCCUGGUGAGGAUCAUAACUAGAGGCAGGAUACAAUGCCCAGCACAGAGCCUCUCAGUCACCCAUCACAGGCACCCACCCCACCACCAGCACAGUGUUACCCAGGCAGGCCUGGCCCCUCCUGGAGCACAAGUUUCCAAGUCUGACAUGUCCUCUGCGAGUCUCUCUAAAUCCUCCUCACCCUGAAGUCCCAUUUGCUCCCUCAGGAAGACAGCUCUGGCCAUAUGUGUGUGUACUGGGGUGGGGUGAUGAUGUAGUAGGACAAGGGGCAUCUUGCGAAUCUUCUUCCUCACUCAUUACUUGUGCCUCACCGUUUAAAAUCCUAUUGCAAAUCUCUUGCAGACUGGGUUCUGGUGCUAACAUUUGCAUCUUGCCCAGUUAUAUUCCACAGAUGGUUUCUCAGUGAACAGAUGAGUGAAUGAACAAGUCAGCGGCACCUGUCAGGUGUCAUUCCUUCUCUUUUUGCACAUGAAUGUUCGUAACACCUUUAUUCCCAACAGCCCAGAGAUGGGAAGAGCCCAGAUGUCCAUCAACUGAUGAGUGGAUGAACAAGACGGGUUCUGUCCACACAGUGGAAUACUACUCAGCCACACAAAGGAAUGAAACCCUGAGACACACUGCCAAGUGGAUGGACCUCAAAAAUGUCACUCUGACUUAAAACAGCCAGACAUAAAUGGUCAUCUAUUGUCUGAUUCCAUUUAUAUGAAAUGUCCAAAAUAAGAAAUAGAGACAGAAAGCAGAGAAGUGCUAUCCAGGGGCUGGGGAGAGGGGAGGUUGGGAGUGAUGGCUUAGUGGCUAUGGGUUUUUUUGGGUGAUGAAGUGAUUUUGAACUAAAUACAGGAGGUAAUUGCACACCACUGUGGACGUGCUAACUGCCAAUCAAUUGUAUACUUUACAACAGGCUAAUGUUAUAUUACAUGAAUUUCACCUCAGUAAAAACACAAAAAACAAAAAACAACAACAA